Long non-coding RNA from Vidua chalybeata, 502 nucleotides. RefSeq lists it as uncharacterized. The transcript is spliced from 4 exons. The record is from RefSeq and is a predicted model, not a curated record. NCBI's taxonomy places the organism in Eukaryota, Metazoa, Chordata, Aves, Passeriformes, Viduidae.
GUGCUACUAAGACAGCUCAAGCAAGGGUGUAUGCAAUUUCUUCCUUUGUAUCUGGAAAAUGGUCAGGAUGAAGUUUCCUUCUUCUGAAAAGUUUCUAAACCGAUAGUUCAAAAAUUAUUUAAAUGGUAAUGCAGAGCAGUUCCAAUUUAAUCAGAAGAUCACAGUCCACAAGGUUCCCAGAAAGAUACCUGGAAAACAGAAUACAGAGAAUCAAUUGUCCUUUAGUGGUAUGAGAUUUCUGUUCUCCAUCUUUCAAAAUAUGACAGAAGUACCAUCAGCAGCUGCUUCUGACACCUGAGCUGCCAGGUGUCUUAGAGUGACAGAUUAUGAGAAGGAUAGUCAACAUUCAGCAUGAAUACUUGUGCCUUUGCCAAAAAGAAAAAAUCAUAAAUUACCAUGAAGAUUUAAAGAAGAGGUCUCAAAACUGAUGGUGAAACCAUCAGAUUGAAAGUCUUUCUCAGGAAGAAGAGGAGAAAGGUACCUGGUGGUUUUGGUGCAAGAA